RNAcentral lists this ribosomal RNA (253 nucleotides) under uncultured bacterium. RNAcentral describes it as "partial 16S ribosomal RNA". It matches the Rfam family "Bacterial small subunit ribosomal RNA", at positions 524 to 776 of the family's 1533-position model. The record is from RNAcentral.
UACAGAGGUCUCAAGCGUUGUUCGGAAUCACUGGGCGUAAAGCGUGCGUAGGCUGUUUCGUAAGUCUUGUGUGAAAGGCGCGGGCUCAACCCGCGGACGGCACAUGAUACUGCGAGACUAGAGUAAUGGAGGGGGAACCGGAAUUCUCGGUGUAGCAGUGAAAUGCGUAGAUAUCGAGAGGAACACUCGUGGCGAAGGCGGGUUCCUGGACAUUAACUGACGCUGAGGCACGAAGGCCAGGGGAGCGAAAGGG